AUACGGAGGACGCGAGCGUUAUCCGGAUUCAUUGGGUUUAAAGGGUGCGCAGGCGGCCGUGCAAGUCAGCGGUGAAAGCCCGGGGCUCAACCCCGGAAGUGCCGUUGAUACUGCAUGGCUGGAAUGCGGUCGAGGCGGGCGGAAGGGGGCGUGGAGCGGUGGAAUGCGUAGAUAUGCCACAGAACGCCGAUAGCGGAGGCAGCUCGCCAGGCCUGCAUUGACGCUCGGGCACGAAAGCGUGGGGAUCGAACAGGAUUAGAUACCCUGGUAGUCCACGCCGUAAACGAUGGGCGCUCGUCGUCGGCGGCAGACAGUCGGCGGCCAAGCGAAAGCGAUAAGCGCCCCACCUGGGGAGUACGGUCGCAAGGCUGAAACUUAAAGGAAUUGGCGGGG
This 393-nucleotide ribosomal RNA is filed under the name uncultured bacterium. Its description in RNAcentral is "partial 16S ribosomal RNA". It matches the Rfam family "Bacterial small subunit ribosomal RNA", at positions 523 to 918 of the family's 1533-position model. The record is from RNAcentral.